Molecule: transfer RNA, 72 nt
Organism: Camelus ferus (Wild Bactrian camel)
Lineage: Eukaryota; Metazoa; Chordata; Mammalia; Artiodactyla; Camelidae
Rfam family: tRNA
About the family: Transfer RNA (tRNA) molecules are approximately 80 nucleotides in length. Their secondary structure includes four short double-helical elements and three loops (D, anti-codon, and T loops).
Source: Rfam
AGGGAAAUAGCUCAGUGGUUGAGUGAAUGCUUAGGAUGCAUGAGGUCCUGGGUUCAAUUCCCAGUAUCUCCU